RNAcentral lists this ribosomal RNA (253 nucleotides) under uncultured bacterium. Its description in RNAcentral is "partial 16S ribosomal RNA". It matches the Rfam family "Bacterial small subunit ribosomal RNA", at positions 524 to 776 of the family's 1533-position model. The record is from RNAcentral.
UACAGAGGUGGCGAGCGUUGUUCGGAAUUACUGGGCGUAAAGGGCGCGUAGGCGGACUGUUAAGUCCCGUGUGAAAUCCCUCGGCUCAACCGAGGAACUGCACGGGAAACUGGCGGGCUUGAGUUCGGGAGAGGGAAGCGGAAUUCCGGGUGUAGCGGUGAAAUGCGUAGAGAGCCGGAGGAACACCGGUGGCGAAGGCGGCUUCCUGGACCAACACUGACGCUGAGGCGCGAAAGCUAGGGGAGCAAACGGG